RNAcentral lists this ribosomal RNA (465 nucleotides) under uncultured bacterium. Its description in RNAcentral is "partial 16S ribosomal RNA". It matches the Rfam family "Bacterial small subunit ribosomal RNA", at positions 28 to 507 of the family's 1533-position model. The record is from RNAcentral.
GACGAACGCUGGCGGCGUGCUUAACACAUGCAAGUCGAACGGAAAGGCCCUGCUUGCUGGGUACUCGAGUGGCGAACGGGUGAGUAACACGUGGGUGAUCUGCCCUGCACUUCGGGAUAAGCCUGGGAACCUGGGUCUAAUACCGGAUAGGAGCCAUUUUUAGUGUGAUGGUUGGUAAGUUUUUUCGGUGUAGGAUGAGCUCGCGGCCUAUCAGCUUGUUGGUGGGGUAAUGGCCUACCAAGGCGGCGACGGGUAGCCGGCCUGAGAGGGUGGACGGCCACAUUGGGACUGAGAUACGGCCCAGACUCCUACGGGAGGCAGCAGUGGGGAAGAUUGCACAAUGGGCGCAAGCCUGAUGCAGCGACGCCGCGUGGGGGAUGACGGCCUUCGGGUUGUAAACGCCUUGCGCUAGGGACGAAGCUUGUUGUGACGGUACCUAGAUAAGAAGCACCGGCUAACUACGUG